This 169-nucleotide unclassified non-coding RNA is filed under the name uncultured Auriculariales. Its description in RNAcentral is "sequence contains ITS1". Lineage: Eukaryota; Fungi; Basidiomycota; Agaricomycetes; Auriculariales. The record is from RNAcentral.
ACGUGUUUUGAAUCGCAAGAUUCUUAAUUCCAAAGCUGUGCGCUUUCGGGCUGCACGCGGAGGAAAACACCUUUCCACACCUGUGCACAUAUACGGUGGUGGGCUUAAUUGCCCGCCGCCGCUUAUUACACACUUCAUGUCAGUCUUGUAUGUAACCUUUAUAAAAAUA